Molecule: non-coding RNA, 3755 nt
Organism: Lolium perenne
Lineage: Eukaryota; Viridiplantae; Streptophyta; Magnoliopsida; Poales; Poaceae
Source: RefSeq, a predicted model, not a curated record
CCUAAUAGAUUUGUUUGCUCGUUUUCAUUUAGGCAUCAUCAUGCAUACACCAUAAACAUGGUUUUGAUAAAUAAAUAUUAUAUUUAAUGUAAACCCUAUUUCCUUAUUUUCCUCUCAUAUGGUUCUAUAAGAGCCCUCUUUUAAUCUUUGCUUAUUUAACAAAACCCUCUAGUUCUUAUUGUAUUUAAAAUCCCAAAGAAAAAUAAAUAUUUUAAAGCCUUGCAAAAUUGUUUUACAAUAAAAACAAAGCUUUUCAAAUGUUUUGCAAAUUCUCCUCUCAUCCUCCUCUUUCUGCAAGAAAUUCGGAAGAAGCAGAAAUAUGCCAGGGAGCCAACAGGAUCAGACCAAGUCACCUUACUCCUCUCACAGUCGCUCCUCCACGCCAUCUCUCUUUCUCUCCUCCUAGCGUGUGGUCCUCCAUCUUAUCUUCUGGAUGUGGUGCGCUUCUUCUCCACGCCAAGUCUCCAGCUCCACCUGCUCCCUUUCUUUCCUCCUCUCCACGCCAACAAUCAAAGACCACCAUCAGCCAAUCCAGUUUCAGACACAGAAAACCAUCUCCAACCUCUCGCCGUCGAUCCGCCAACUCCGGCCACCCCCUGAUGAGCUGAGAGCACCACCAGAACCGCCUCGACGUCCUCUGUAUCCUCGUUCAAGUAAUCAAGCAGGGGGCGCCCCAACCGCCGCCAACGACCUUGCGUUCUUCUUCUACGCCGGCAGAAACUCGACGUUUCCGGCCGCCUCCGUCCACUUCCGGUACCCCCGACGUGUUCUGUAGCUUCCUGGUGAGGUCCCCGUCCUUUACUCUUUUCCCCCGUUGCAUCUGACCAUGUUUCUGCAUCGCCUAAAUCUGACGAAAACGGACGGCUUUUCUUUUUCCGUCCGAGGUCGCCACCAUGUCCGCUGUCUACGUCUUCGGCCAUGUCCGCGCACACGCCAAGGACUCCAAACACGUAUGCUCCCUCUCCUGGCCUCCUCCUGGGUAUGAAGAUAUGGUCGAUGAAGAUGACGUUAGCAAGGUUACCCUUCCGGCUUGGCCUGGGCAGGGUUAUGGACGCCACUUGGUUAUCUUCAGGACUCUUAGUCCAAAUUUGUAUCUUGUCCGUACUCGGAUGUAUUUGAUCUUCUGUAUGAUUUGGAUCUUUGUAUGUAUCUAUUUGUAUCUUGACUCGUUCGAGUCGUUGUUGUAAUAUAUAUGUUUCUUGUGGGCUCUAUUGUAAUCCUGUUGUAAUGUUACUGCUCGUGAUUGAUUCCACCCGCAUCGCGUGCAUGCUUCGGCGUGUACGAGGCGCUUGGUGGUGCGUCUCCUAGAAUCGAUAUCGUGCGGAUUUCAGCGGAUUCGCUGGGAUCCUCAUGGUACCGGUUUUGGGGCGUCACAAGUUGGUAUCAGAGCCUCAGGUUGACGGUACCCCACUAGUCCAGCCUUUAGGAUAACCUUGCCAACGGUCGUUGAGUUUAGAGUGUCAAAACUAUUUUUCAAAAUUCGUUGGAUAGUUCUGAUUAGCUCUAUUUUUCUCCUUACCUAUAUUCUUUCUCCUCUUACCUAUGCGAGUUUUGAGUCUUCUCUCUUAUCUGAGUUUUCCGAGUCUUAGGUUCCGACGUGGAUUGGACGAUCUUUGCCCCUCACCUAUCAGGUCCGAUCUUCAGAGGCCUCGACGAGAGCGCAUCAUCGACAACGGAACAACGACUUCUUGUUAGUGGUGUCGCCGAUCAACACGGAGCAACAACUCUUGUUAGUGGUGUCGAGAAGAUCGACACGUCGCGCGAAGACCCGAUAGCUCACCUCUCUCCCCUGUACCUGGACGUGGAAUCUCGGGGCGAGAUUCCUUGUUAGUGGUGUCGAUUGUAACGGCCCAUGGUAGUACCCCUAAUAGAUUUGUUUGCUCGUUUUCAUUUAGGCAUCAUCAUGCAUACACCAUAAACAUGGUUUUGAUAAAUAAAUAUUAUAUUUAAUGUAAACCCUAUUUCCUUAUUUUCCUCUCAUAUGGUUCUAUAAGAGCCCUCUUUUAAUCUUUGCUUAUUUAACAAAACCCUCUAGUUCUUAUUGUAUUUAAAAUCCCAAAGAAAAAUAAAUAUUUUAAAGCCUUGCAAAAUUGUUUUACAAUAAAAACAAAGCUUUUCAAAUGUUUUGCAAAUUCUCCUCUCAUCCUCCUCUUUCUGCAAGAAAUUCGGAAGAAGCAGAAAUAUGCCAGGGAGCCAACAGGAUCAGACCAAGUCACCUUACUCCUCUCACAGUCGCUCCUCCACGCCAUCUCUCUUUCUCUCCUCCUAGCGUGUGGUCCUCCAUCUUAUCUUCUGGAUGUGGUGCGCUUCUUCUCCACGCCAAGUCUCCAGCUCCACCUGCUCCCUUUCUUUCCUCCUCUCCACGCCAACAAUCAAAGACCACCAUCAGCCAAUCCAGUUUCAGACACAGAAAACCAUCUCCAACCUCUCGCCGUCGAUCCGCCAACUCCGGCCACCCCCUGAUGAGCUGAGAGCACCACCAGAACCGCCUCGACGUCCUCUGUAUCCUCGUUCAAGUAAUCAAGCAGGGGGCGCCCCAACCGCCGCCAACGACCUUGCGUUCUUCUUCUACGCCGGCAGAAACUCGACGUUUCCGGCCGCCUCCGUCCACUUCCGGUACCCCCGACGUGUUCUGUAGCUUCCUGGUGAGGUCCCCGUCCUUUACUCUUUUCCCCCGUUGCAUCUGACCAUGUUUCUGCAUCGCCUAAAUCUGACGAAAACGGACGGCUUUUCUUUUUCCGUCCGAGGUCGCCACCAUGUCCGCUGUCUACGUCUUCGGCCAUGUCCGCGCACACGCCAAGGACUCCAAACACGUAUGCUCCCUCUCCUGGCCUCCUCCUGGGAUCACAGGAGGCACGACGUACACGAUGCCGUAGGUAGGUUUGGGCGCUGCUGUUGUCUGAUUGUUCACUUGUGCUUUCAGUAUAACGACGAUUUGGUCGCUGGAUCCCUUAUUAAUUGGUGCUGCUACUGCAAGGAAAGGCAACCUUCCUCGUUCUUGAUGUGAUCGAUGCCGAAGAGCGCUUUGUUGGUGGACACGCGGUUGAUCUGAACUAGGCCUACGUUUCUGAAGAUGACGAUCAGUUUUCUUCCUUGUGAUGAAGUUGUACAAGCUAGUUGUCGUGCUGAACACACUGGUUUCGCGUGCGUAUGGGUGGACAGAGGUGGAAGCAAAUGGCAAUGGCGCCGCCCGAUGACGCGCAUGGGCGUCAUGAGGACGUCGGUGCCGGGGACGAUCACAACGUCGAUGAUGGUGAGCAGAACGUGUACUAUCGCGAAGCAGCCGACGAUGGGGUCAAGUACAUGCACACCGGUUGUGGACGCGUUCGAUCGAGGUCGCUUUUUUGCGGUCUCGGGGGCCCGCGGCCGCGGCCGCGCCGGCGUCAGCCGCGGGUUCGUGGGCAUGCCGGUCACGGCGAGACUGAUGUACCAGAACGCCAGGGGGCGGAUGGUGGCGGCCGAGGGCGUGGGAGCAAGGAGCAGGGUUAACGAGGUCGCGGCGAAGGCACACGCAUCUGCAGCGGCGCGGGUGAUGACGGGCAUGCCAUGCCGAAGGAGGGAACGGCGGCACUCAAGAACAGAGACGACGGCGAUCGGUAAAGUUAAAAUUGCACGUAGUUUACCCGCAAUGAUAAAUAAAAAUUGCAAGUAGUUUAACCGCAAAAAUAAAAUAGAAAUUGAACGUAGUUACGGAUCUGUACACGAAUGUACAUACGGAGCAGUAAAUAUUGAUGUAUGACAACUGAAAUCGUUCA